This 544-nucleotide ribosomal RNA is filed under the name Chalciporus rubinellus. RNAcentral's name for it is "eukaryotic LSU rRNA". It matches the Rfam family "Eukaryotic large subunit ribosomal RNA", at positions 72 to 628 of the family's 3401-position model. Lineage: Eukaryota; Fungi; Basidiomycota; Agaricomycetes; Boletales; Boletaceae. The record is from RNAcentral.
GGAAUCCCUAGUAACUCGGAGUGAAGCGGAAGAGCUCAAAUUUUGAAUCUGCGGUCUUCGGCCGUCCGAGUUGUAACUAGAGAAGCGUUUUCCGCGCUGGACCGUGUACAGUCUCCUGGAAGGAGCGUCGUAGAGGGUGAGAAUCCCGUCUUUGACACGGACUACCAGUGCAUUGAUCGCUCUCGACGAGUCGAGUUGUUUGGGAUGCAGCUCAAAUUGGGUGGUAAAUUCCAUCUAAAGCUAAAUACAGGCGAGAGACCGAUAGCGAACAGUACCGUGAGGGAAAGAUGAAAAGAACUUUGGAAAGAGAGUUAAACAGUACGUGAAAUUGCUGAAAGGGAAACGCUUGAUGUCAGUCGCGUCGGCCGGGGAUCAACCUUGCUUUUCGCUGGGUGUAUUUCCUGGUCGACGGGUCAGCAUCAGUUUCGGUCGUUGCAGAAGGGCGGAGGGAACGUGGCACUCUUCGGGGUGUGUUAUAGCCUUUCGUGUAUGCGAUGGUCGGGACUGAGGAACUCAGACGCGUCUGCUUGUGCUCAGGAUGCUG